RNAcentral lists this ribosomal RNA (253 nucleotides) under uncultured bacterium. RNAcentral's name for it is "partial 16S ribosomal RNA". It matches the Rfam family "Bacterial small subunit ribosomal RNA", at positions 524 to 776 of the family's 1533-position model. The record is from RNAcentral.
UACGUAGGGGGCAAGCGUUGUCCGGAGUCAUUGGGCGUAAAGCGCGUGUAGGCGGCCCGGUAAGUCCGCUGUGAAAGUCGGGGGCUCAACCCUCGAAUGCCGGUGGAUACUGUCGGGCUAGAGUGCGGGAGAGGCGAGUGGAAUUCCUGGUGUAGCGGUGAAAUGCGCAGAUAUCAGGAGGAACACCAAUUGCGAAGGCAGCUCGCUGGAACGUAACUGACGCUGAGACGCGAAAGCGUGGGGAGCAAACAGG